Molecule: RNA transcript, 6266 nt
Organism: Anolis carolinensis (green anole)
Lineage: Eukaryota; Metazoa; Chordata; Lepidosauria; Squamata; Anolidae
Gene: ush1g
Gene name: USH1 protein network component sans
Exons: 3
Source: RefSeq, a predicted model, not a curated record
UGUAACAUGUGAAAGAGCUCAAAGAGCCAUUUUAAAAGUGAGUGUGCCCUUAUGUGAAAACUGAGUGUGCCCUUCUACCUUCAUAUUAUAGAUAUAAGCAUAUAUUUUGUUUUCAUCAAGCAUUCAUGGGAAUCAAAUUCUUGGAGUGUUUCCCCAAACAAUGCAAAUUUACAAAUCACACACUCCCAUAAAUUAGAUAUACACUAACAACCCUUUGGAGCCCCCGAUGGUGCAGUGGGUUAAACUGCUGAGCUGCUGAACUUGCUGACCGAAAGGUUGGUGGUUCAAAUCUGGGAAGCGGGGUGAGCGGCCGCUGUUAGCCCCAGCUUCUGCCACCCUAGCAGUUCAAAAACAUUCAAAUGUGAGUAGACCAAUAGGUACCGCUCUGGCGGGAAGGAAACAGCACUCCAUGCAGUCAUGCCGGCCACAUGAGCUUGGAGGUGUCUACGGACAACGGCGGCUCUUUGCCUUAGAAAUGGAGAUGAGCACUAAUCCCCAGAGUCGGACACGAUUAGACUUAAUGCCAAGGGAAAACCUUUACCUUUACCUAACAACCCUUUAGAUAUUAAGUUCCCGCCCAAUGUUUUGUACAUAGAGACAGUACACAUGGGAGCCUAGAUUUUAUAAUUCCUAUGCAAAGAAGGCUGUCCAUGUGCCUGUGUCCAUAGAUUUCAGUGUCCACAUGCAUGUAUUCACUGAGGAGCAAUGCAGAUCCUAUUCUUAAGCACAGGUUUUGCCCUGAAAUCUAAGGGCCUGAGAUAACCCUCACAUGGAAACUCUAUAUUAAAAUACUGGAUGAAGGUCAGAGUUUCAGAAGCAAAUUUGGGAAAGCAAACAUCUUCAAAAUGCUGAUGUUCAAGAUUUGAAGGAAACAAAGUGCAAGAAAAAAAAACCCUAAAAGAAACCCUGAGUCAGCUGGCAGAAGUUUUAAACAUCUUCUAACAGCUUGAAUAGAUAAAAGCUUCCACUUUUCGGAAGUGUAGGCAAAAUAACCUCAUUUUACUUGGAAGGGGUUUGCUGAGGUGAAGUAAACAGCUAGCAGGGUGAAGCAAGGAAUCCUUAGGACCCAGGGGAAGCCACAGAAAAUAAUCUCCUGCAUUCAAUAUGAGGAGUUCCUCCCCUCACUGGCCAGGGACUCUCAGGUGUCCUAGUAACACAUCUCCCUCUUUCUCCUUCCGGCAGCUGCUUCCUCAGAAGUGGCUCAUCCACCUCAAUGCCCCUUCUUUUACGACUGCCCCCACUCCUCCUUCCCAAUGCAAUGGCCAGGGAAUAAGGCUGCCUCAUCAUGAAUGACCACUACCACCGAGCAGCCAGGGAUGGCUACCUUGAUCUGCUCAAAGAGGCCACCAAGAAGGACCUCAACUCCCCCGACGAGGAUGGCAUGACCCCAACCCUAUGGGCUGCCUAUCAUGGCAACUUGGAUGCCUUGCGGUUGAUAGUUAGCAGGGGGGGUGAUCCAGACAAAUGUGACAUCUGGGGGAACACACCUCUUCAUCUAGCAGCAGCCAAUGGGCAUUUGAAUUGCCUCUCCUUCCUGGUGUCUUUUGGGGCCAAUAUCUGGUGUUUGGACAAUGACUACCACACGCCACUGGACAUGGCAGCCAUGAAAGGCCACAUGGAGUGCGUGCGUUACUUGGAUUCCAUUGCUGCCAAGCAGAGCAGCCUCAACCCCAAGUUGGUGGGCAAGCUGAAGGACAAGGCCUUCAAGGAUGCAGAGAAGCGCAUUAAGGACUGUGUAAAGCUGCAGAAGAAGCACCAUGAGAGGAUGGAGAAAAGGUACAAAAAGGAAAUGUCUGACCAUUCAGACACCAUGAGCUUCUCCAGUUACUCCAGCAGCACUUUGAGCAGGCGAUUCCAGCACAUGUCUAUGAUGACAUCGUUGCCAUAUUCUCAGGCCACUGUACACGGCACAGCCAAGGGCAAAACCAAAAUCCAGAAAAAGCUGGAGAAGAAGAAACAGGUAGAUGGGACAUUCAAAAUAUAUGAGGAUGGGAGGAAAAGUGUGCGCUCCUUGUCUGGCUUGCAGCUAGGCAAUGAUGUCAUGUUUGUGAAACAAGGCACCUAUGCCAGUCCAAAGGAGUGGUCUCGGCGCAACAUUAGGGACAUGUUUCUGACCGAUGAGGACACUGUCUCCCGUGCCAUAAGUGACCCAGGUUUGCACAUAGACUCAGCCCAUUCUGAGGUCAGCACCGAUUCUGGACAUGACUCUUUAUUCAAUCGCCCUGGCUUAGGCACUAUGGUUUUCAGGAGGAACUAUGUCAGCAGUGGACUGUUUGGGAUUGGACAGGAUGACCCCGGCAUGCUAGGAGAAAAUAAUAUGGAUAGGUUGGGCGUUAAACUUCAAAGCCGCCUGCAGCGCUCGCCAAGUCUCAACGAUAGCAUCGGCAGUGCCAACAGCCUGCAGGAGAGGAACAUGGAGGAGCUGCCAUGGGAUGAGAUGGAACUGGGCCUGGAUGAUGAUAUUGAACCUGAAACCAGCCCUCUAGAGACCUUCCUUGCCUCUUUGCACAUGUUUGAAUUCAUUUCUAUCCUUAAGAAAGAAAAAAUUGAUUUGGAAGCACUCAUGUUAUGUUCAGAUAAUGAUCUGAAGAGCAUCAACAUCCCUCUGGGACCCAGGAAAAAGAUUCUAGAUGCUGUCCAGAGGAGGAAACAGACUUUGGAGAAUCCUGAUGUCAUAGAAGACACUGACCUGUAAGCAAUAGAGCCCUAACUUCAUUCUCAUGGAUGCACAAGGGUCUUCUUCAACACAUGAUGAGCAUAACCUGCAAGGAUAGCUGUUUUUAAGGACCAAGGAACAACAAAACAGUUCUAAAUUGCCAGAAAACAUCUGCCAGAGAUCCUAACAGUGGGAAACAGAACGCCACAACAUAAGGCCCAGCUCUAACAAGCUCUCAUCUUAUCCUCUUGUUUUUUGCCUGCAAACGUUUGCCAGAUAGUAGCCUGGUGCUAAAGAGAUUUUUAAAUAUUGCACCCCACCCCCUGUCCCAAUCUAAGCUAGUAAACGCAUCUACAUUACCUGUUUGAGCAACAAUUCUGCAAACUCAAGAUUACAUAAUGAAAGUUAUUUUAUAGUUGCUCUGUUUAGCUAACUGUCAAAAUAAUAGAAAUGAACCAGCUUUUCUUAAAGGUAGAAAGAUGUGAUGUUUCACUUGUAGCAUAGUGAUAUCCAUUCUAUGAGACAUAAGUAGGUGACAAGGAGAACAACUUAUGGGAAAUAGUAAUUAGCAUGCAUUAUGAUAUCAUUUACCAAAAUGGCUUUGGGAAAUAUUUUGUAAUUGCACGGCUAUAAGCAUUGAUCACAAAAUAAAUGUGUUUAACAUAUGAUUCCUGUAAGGAAAUGGUAUGUCAAAGAAAAUUUGUAGUCCCCCCCCCCCCCAAAAGAAAAAAAGCUAGCAUUAUGUUAGUAACUUAGGCAGAUAUAAGCCCAAUUAAUAUAGCUCACUUCUUUGGUCAUUGCUAAGGCUGGAAUUCUAUACCUUCGUCAUGUAAUGUCAACAAUUCCAUGUAUACAUAUUUUCAUGUUUCUUGCCUUCAAAAUGACCAUAAAGUGUAGUGCAGGGGAUGUUUAAGAAACAUCUGGCUAUGUCCCUAUAGUCACAUGCAGACUGAUGCCAUCACCUUUAAGAUUCCUGGAAAGUCCCAGAUGAUAUCUUUGCCAUUUUGCAUUUAGGGGUAUAGUGAGAUGUUUUUCAGACACCCGAUAGUCUUCCUUGGCCACUAUAAAGUCAUUGCAUUGUGGGCUGCAUGAAAAAUGUAGAUUAACAGGGAAAGAGGAUAGCACAUAGUUCCACCGUGGAACUUUUACAUCACUCAUCCACAAUAACAACACCGGCCUAAAUCCAAUUGCCAGUCCCAAGUGGAGUCGGCUCAUAAAACAUUGGGAUUUACAUGAGUGUUGACAUAUCCAAAGCAGUUGAUUUCAAUGGGUUUAGCAUGCCCUCUACCUGUCCCUGUUUGGCAGGAAUAGCCUUGAUUAAUCCUCUGCUGUCCUACUUUUUCAGCUGCUUAUAAAAUGCUGCAGAUUUUCUUUCCUUCUCUUCCUUGGCCUCUAUGUCCUCUGUUGAUUUCAAUUGCUACAAACUACAGUCGAUGUGUAAAAGUUGUUUGCACUCAAUUAACACAGCAAUGGGAAGAAAAGUUGAGGAUCUGGCUGUAAUCUUUCUCAUUGGACCUUCCUUUCAAUUUUACAGCUGUUCACCCUAUGUCCCCUCUCAUGCAGUUCACCUAUUUGAGAAAGUCAUAUCAAAUACAUUUCUAUGCAUUGUUGGAGCCUUGAUGUAAGCCUUGAUGGAGCCUCUGCAUGGAGCUUGCCAAGUACAAAACUUCUCAUCCAAGUACAAACAUUCUCAUUGGGGGUUUUAAAAUCAAAAGGCAAAGAAAAGCAAGACAUUGGUAGAGGAGAAAGCAAUAAACAUUGGGGAAGUUUGUUUCCCUCUCCCCACUUAUGCUUACAUUGUGAUCCCAAAAUGCAAACCCACGUCUGUAUGAAUGAUAGCUUCACCUGGGCAUACUAGGACACUUGUGCACAGGACUGUAGCCAAGGGGGGGGGGGCGCUAAGGGUUCAACCCCCACCCCCAAAUUUUCAGGUUUUUUAACAAACCUGGUUUACUCAUGAAUUUUAACUGGUUAACCAAAUCCCCAUGAGUGUCCACUGAAGUUUAUCGAUGGGGCCUGAUUUCUAAAUUAUUUUGCGUUAUGGAACUACUCUUCAUGAUUCGCUAAAAAAAAAAGUUUAAAACCGCCCUCAUUUUUUUUUCUGGCAUGGCCCUGCUUGUGCAAUCAGGUGACAGAGCCCUUACACCCUUCAGGCUGUGGUGCCAUACUAGUAAAUCCAGCCUUUCCUUUCCUUCACUGCAGUAGUAUGCCAUGACAAGUAGUAUUUACACAGAUUCCAUCUGCCAUUCUGACAGAUAACAUGUGUUGAAAGCUUCUUACACAGCCAGCACACUUCUGUCUAUGAUCUCCUAUCUUUAAUGGGCUGUUCUCCCUCCAGGAAAGAGGUCAGGGUGGAGUUUCUGGCAGACCAGAAGUAUGGCCUUCUAUGGCCCAUAUUAGGCAGCCAGAGUUCCCUUCUCUUUUCAAAAGUGAUAGGAGCAUCUACUUUGUAGCACUGGACAUAAGCAUUCUUCCCUCCCAUGGGAACUUUGUCAGUGUUUAUCUUUCACAGCUCUGUGGAUAAUAGCACCAAGAGUGAGAAAGUGAUACCCAGUGCAUCAGUAUUUGCAAAUUGUUGUUACGUUAUAAUUCAAAGCAAAGCUGAAAGUUGCAUUAAUCCACAAUAUCAACUACAUUGAAAAAAGCUGACAUCAGUGUUAGGCACAAUUCAAAGCUUGUUCAGAAUUUUGAUUGCAUGGCUUUAAAGACCCAAACAUAACAUCCAACAAGAUAAAAAAAACCCCCAUAUAUAUGGAAGCGGGUAGUUGGGUCAAUCCAUCUUUAUCUGUCAUGGCUGCUCUUUAUGCUUAUUUGGUGGAAUCAGUGCAUCGCCUUGCUUCCUGUUGCUUUCACUUACUCAAGUUGGAAAAAGGCUGUUUUUCACAAGUUCCAUGGUUUUAUUUAUUUGACACGCUCUCAUGAGUUUUGCAAAGAUUGAUUGUGGCAAAAGUUUAAAUAAGUAUAAACCGAGGCAAGAAGUAAAGCCAUACCAAUUGGACAAGUGAAGAAACCCCCAUUGGGGAAAUAUGGGGAUAUAUUUGUGAGCAACAGAGACCCCUUUUGCCAUAUGGAGAAGUUGGGGCUGAAUUAUUAUUUGGCAACAGUGGAGAGAAGGUGGCUGCCUUUACCCAUGAUCCAAACAUCCUAGGGACAAUGGCAGGCAAGUCUGAACUGUGGUAAAGCCAAGCUCUUUAUUCAUAUUAGCCAUGAAAUAACAAUCCAACCUUAAAUGCAAUACUCAAGCUGCUUUUCUUCAUUGGACUUUGUCUGGAUUAAAUGUGCUAUGAUUUAUGAUAGUGAAAAACCAUUUCCCUACAUUUCUCUUUGCACCAGGCCAUUUCAUGUAUUGUUCAGACUGCAAACAUGUGUGCAUGAAAUUGGGAAUAAGUCCUUUGGGAUGCAAUGAAAUUUAUUUCUGAGUAAAUGUCCAUAGAGCUGGGCUAUCUGUUUAUUAAAUGUACAUGCAUCUAAAAUCUCUACCCUUUGUAGAUGCUUGGUAUGUAUUCAGUGCAUUAAUGUAUGUAUGUUUGUGUACCAGAACUGUAUUUUAACUGUGUCUUUAUUAAUAUAUUUGUAUUCUUUCACUGCCUAACAACAUUUUUAAUGAAAA